UGACUUUCUAAGGGAAAUUUUGUAGUUCGU
RNAcentral lists this non-coding RNA (30 nucleotides) under Mus musculus (house mouse). The record is from RNAcentral. Lineage: Eukaryota; Metazoa; Chordata; Mammalia; Rodentia; Muridae.